RNAcentral lists this long non-coding RNA (964 nucleotides) under Homo sapiens (human). RNAcentral's name for it is "small nucleolar RNA host gene 17, transcript variant 51 (SNHG17)". The record is from RNAcentral. Lineage: Eukaryota; Metazoa; Chordata; Mammalia; Primates; Hominidae.
AGUCCUUCGCCGUCCCUCGCCGUCCUUCGCCAUCGCACGCCACCGCACCCCAUCUCUCGAAAUCUGCAGACAUCUUGAUUUUUCCCACGCUGUCUGUCAGGUCUCCGCCGCCACUCGACGCCAGGGCGCCGGGCCUUGUGGGCUGUGCUGCACCUCGGACGGCUUCGCACCAGCCAGCGCCCUCUCUCUCCUGCAGCACUCUGAUCUGCACCCCCUGAGGGGCUUCCACUGUCCGCGGGGUGAGAAUGCCCCUGGGAGUGUCACAUGACUGCCGCCCCAUGUGUGUGAGAGGCGUCCUCUGGGAGAGCAUGGAUCCUGAGGUCCCAGGAUUGUCAGCUGACCUCUGUCCUGUGUGCCCAGUGGCCCCAGGUGACGUGUCUUCAAGAAGAGGCUGAGCUGCGGUGCUUGUAAGAGUCAUGUGCUGUUCCUGGGGCUUGGAUGAUGUAGGGGAAGCAAGGUGAAAGUGGUAUCCCGUGGUUCCACGUUCUGUCCUGCUGUGGGGCUGUCCCUCACAUGCUUUCAGUGGCUGUUGCAGAGGAAGAGCCUCCGGAAAUCUGCGUCUCAGCCUUAGAUCCAAGGACAGUCCAAGGAAGUCCUAAGACCAUGGAGUUGGUGAUCUGGGAUCUGGGUUUGCUGAUAUUUCUCACCGUGAAUCUCUUGGUGGUGUUUGUGGGCACGAGAGGGGCAGAGAAUGGAGAGUGAGGCUACCACAUGAAGCGUCACCAGAGCUGCUCCCUGCUGCCUGCUCAGAGCACCCCGGAUCCACUGUUCAAUCUGCACAAGAUUCGGGGUCCAGACAUGGGAGACUUCAGCUGCCUCAGAGGACCGUGGACAGGGAAGGCCAGCCUCGCAUCCCUCUGUCCAUGCCUGGAAUGACUUUAAUAACCAAGAGUUUUAUUUUUGAAUUUGUAGCUGUCGUUCACUUUUUACCCACCCAUUCAAUAAACCUUACAGAAUUGCUCCA